CCUACGGGUGGCAGCAGUCGAGAAUCAUUCACAAUGGGGGAAACCCUGAUGGUGCGACGCCGCGUGGGGGAAUGAAGGUCUUCGGAUUGUAAACCCCUGUCAUGUGGGAGCAAAUUAAAAAGAUAGUACCACAAGAGGAAGAGACGGCUAACUCUGUGCCAGCAGCCGCGGUAAUACAGAGGUCUCAAGCGUUGUUCGGAAUCACUGGGCGUAAAGCGUGCGUAGGCUGUUUCGUAAGUCGUGUGUGAAAGGCGCGGGCUCAACCCGCGGACGGCACAUGAUACUGCGAGACUAGAGUAAGGGAGGGGGAACCGGAAUUCUCGGUGUAGCAGUGAAAUGCGUAGAGAUCGAGAGGAACACUCGUGGCGAAGGCGGGUUCCUGGACAUUAACUGACGCUGAGGCACGAAGGCCAGGGGAGCGAAAGGGAUUAGAUACCCCAGUAGUC
This 446-nucleotide ribosomal RNA is filed under the name uncultured bacterium. RNAcentral's name for it is "partial 16S ribosomal RNA". It matches the Rfam family "Bacterial small subunit ribosomal RNA", at positions 338 to 795 of the family's 1533-position model. The record is from RNAcentral.